Molecule: ribosomal RNA, 301 nt
Filed under: uncultured bacterium
Lineage: Bacteria
Description: partial 16S ribosomal RNA
Rfam family: Bacterial small subunit ribosomal RNA
Source: RNAcentral
CAGCAGCCGCGGUAAUACGUAGGGUGCUAGCGUUGUUCGGAAUUACUGGGCGUAAAGCGCACGUAGGCGGUUAUUCAAGUCAGAGGUGAAAGCCCGGGGCUCAACCCCGGAACUGCCUUUGAAACUAGAUGACUAGAAUCUUGGAGAGGUCAGUGGAAUUCCGAGUGUAGAGGUGAAAUUCGUAGAUAUUCGGAAGAACACCAGUGGCGAAGGCGACUGACUGGACAAGUAUUGACGCUGAGGUGCGAAAGCGUGGGGAGCAAACAGGAUUAGAGACCCCUGUAGUCCCUGUCUCUUAUAU